AGCUCCAAUAGCGUAUAUUAAAGUUGUUGCAGUUAAAAAGCUCGUAGUCGAAUUUCUGUCUAUUAACGGCUGGCUGAUUAUUCAGCUUGGCAGUUGUAGGCAUCCUUCUAAGUCUCCUUUACGGGAGUCGCUUAGAGCCUUUACUUUGAGAAAAUUAGAGCGUUCCAAGCAAGCGAUUGCUUUGAAUACUACAGCAUGGAAUAAUAUUAUAGGACUUUUUACCUAUUUGUUGGUUUAGGUUGGAAGUAAUGAUUAAUAGGGACAGUUGGGGGCAUUCGUAUUUGACAGUCAGAGGUGAAAUUCUUGGAUUUGUCAAAGACGAACUACUGCGAAAGCAUUUGCCAAGGAUGUUCUCA
RNAcentral lists this ribosomal RNA (356 nucleotides) under uncultured eukaryote. Its description in RNAcentral is "partial small subunit ribosomal RNA". It matches the Rfam family "Eukaryotic small subunit ribosomal RNA", at positions 587 to 972 of the family's 1831-position model. The record is from RNAcentral.